GAUGAAGAACGCAGUGAAAUGCGAUACUUGGUGUGAAUUGCAGAAUCCCGUGAACCAUCGAGUCUUUGAACGCAAGUUGCGCCCGAAGCCAUUAGGCCGAGGGCACGCCUGCCUGGGCGUCACACGUCGUUGCCCCCCCAUCUACUCCUUCGGGAUUGCGGGGGGCGGAUGAUGGCCUCCCGUGCGCCUCGCCGCGCGGUUGGCAUAAAUGCCAAGUCCUCGGCGACGCACGCCACGACAAUCGGUGGUUGCGAAACCUCGGUUGCCCGUCGUGUGCGGUCGUCGCGCAUCGAGGGCUCGAAAAAAUUGCCGGGUUCCGGCUCGGUUUUCAACGCGACCCCAGGUCAGGCGGGGUUACCCGCUGAAUUUAAGCAUAUCAAUAAGCGGAGGA
Molecule: unclassified non-coding RNA, 391 nt
Filed under: soil metagenome
Description: partial contains 5.8S ribosomal RNA, internal transcribed spacer 2, and large subunit ribosomal RNA
Rfam family: 5.8S ribosomal RNA (bases 1-122)
Source: RNAcentral